This 253-nucleotide ribosomal RNA is filed under the name uncultured bacterium. RNAcentral's name for it is "partial 16S ribosomal RNA". It matches the Rfam family "Bacterial small subunit ribosomal RNA", at positions 524 to 776 of the family's 1533-position model. The record is from RNAcentral.
UACAGAGGUCCCAAGCGUUGUUCGGAUUUACUGGGCGUAAAGGGUGCGUAGGUGGUGGGGUAAGUUCUGCGUGAAAGCUUCGGGCUCAACCCGAAAAUUGCGUCGAAAACUAUCCCGCUAGAGGAUCGGAAGGGAGACUGGAAUUCUCGGUGUAGCAGUGAAAUGCGUAGAUAUCGAGAGGAACACCUGUGGCGAAGGCGAGUCUCUGGACGAUUCCUGACACUGAGGCACGAAAGCUAGGGGAGCAAACGGG